GACUACUGGGGUAUCUAAUCCCGUUCGCUCCCCUAGCUUUCGCACCUCAGCGUCAGGAUAUGGCCAGGAAGCCGCCUUCGCCACGGGUGUUCCUCCAGAUAUCUACGCAUUUCACCGCUACACCUGGAAUUCCACUUCCCUCUCCAAACCUCAAGGCUUCCAGUUUUGCAGGCAGCUCCGAGGUUAAGCCUCGGGAUUUCACCCACAACUUAAAAGCCCGCCUACGCGCGCUUUACGCCCAGUGAAUUCGGACAACGCUCGCCCCCUACGUAUUACCGCGGCUGCUGGCACGUAGUUAGCCGGGGCUUAUUCGUGGGGUACCGUCACUUCCUUCGUCCCCCACAAAAGACCUUUACAUCCCGAAAGACUUCAUCAGUCACGCGGCGUCGCUGCGUCAGGCUUUCGCCCAUUGCGCAAGAUUCCUCACUGCAGCCCCCCGUAGG
RNAcentral lists this ribosomal RNA (443 nucleotides) under uncultured Armatimonadota bacterium. RNAcentral describes it as "uncultured Armatimonadetes bacterium partial 16S ribosomal RNA". The record is from RNAcentral. Lineage: Bacteria; Bacillati; Armatimonadota.